CAGGUACCAACCAGGUGUAGUGAUGUAACAGUUAGACAGGUACCAACCAGGUGUAGUGAUGUAACAGUUAGACAGGUACCAACCAGGUGUAUUGAUGUAACAGUUAGACAGGUACCAACCAGGUGUAGUGAUGUAACAGUUAGACAGGUACCAACCAGGUGUAUUGAUGUAACAGUCAGACAGGUACCAACCAGGUGUAUUGAUGUAACAGUUAGACAGGUACCAACCAGGUGUAGUGAUGUAACAGUUAGACAGGUACCAACCAGGUGUAGUGAUGUAACAGUUAGACAGGUACCAACCAGGUGUAGUGAUGUAACAGCCAGCA
This 325-nucleotide long non-coding RNA is filed under the name Salmo salar (Atlantic salmon). Its description in RNAcentral is "lncRNA (ENSSSAG00000087398.1)". Lineage: Eukaryota; Metazoa; Chordata; Actinopteri; Salmoniformes; Salmonidae. The record is from RNAcentral.